CCAAUAGCGUAUAUUAAAGUUGUUGCAGUUAAAAAGCUCGUAGUUGAACUUCGGGAUCAGUACGCCGGUCGUGCCUUCGGUAUGCACUGGUGUCACUGGUUUCUCCCUUCUGAAGAACCAUCAUGCCAUUCAGUUGGUGUGGCGGGGAAUCAGGACUGUUACUUUGAAAAAAUUAGAGUGUUUAAAGCAGGCUCGCGCUUGAAUACAUUAGCAUGGAAUAAUGAAAUAGGACGUUUGACCCUAUUUUGUUGGUUUCUAGGAUCGACGUAAUGAUUAAUAGGGAUAGUUGGGGGCAUUAGUAUUCAAUUGUCAGAGGUGAAAUUCUUGGAUUUAUUGAAGACUAACUACUGCGAAAGCAUUUGCCAAGGAUGUUUUCAUUAAUCAAGAACGAAAGUUAGGGGAUCGAAGACGAUCAGAUACCGUCGUAGUCUUAACCAUAAACUAUGCCGACUAGGGAUCGGAUGAUGUUAAUUUUUUAAUGACUCAUUCGGCGCCUUACG
Molecule: ribosomal RNA, 500 nt
Filed under: uncultured Glomeromycotina
Lineage: Eukaryota; Fungi; Glomeromycota
Description: partial small subunit ribosomal RNA
Rfam family: Eukaryotic small subunit ribosomal RNA
Source: RNAcentral